This 305-nucleotide ribosomal RNA is filed under the name uncultured bacterium. Its description in RNAcentral is "bacterial SSU rRNA". It matches the Rfam family "Bacterial small subunit ribosomal RNA", at positions 337 to 660 of the family's 1533-position model. The record is from RNAcentral.
GCCUACGGGGCGCAGCAGUAGGGAAUAUUGCUCAAUGGGGGAAACCCUGAAGCAGCAACGCCGCGUGGAGGAUGAAGGUUUUCGGAUUGUAAACUCCUUUUGUUAGAGAAGAUAAUGACGGUAUCUAACGAAUAAGCACCGGCUAACUCCGUGCCAGCAGCCGCGGUAAUACGUAUGGUGCAAGCGUUAUCCGGAUUUAUUGGGUUUAAAGGGUGCGUAGGCGGAAUGCCAAGUCAGCGGUAAAAUCGCGGGGCUCAACCUCGCUCCGCCGUUGAAACUGGCGUUCUUGAGUGGGCGAGAAGUAU